Molecule: microRNA precursor, 67 nt
Filed under: Bombyx mori (domestic silkworm)
Lineage: Eukaryota; Metazoa; Arthropoda; Insecta; Lepidoptera; Bombycidae
Description: mir-2774 microRNA precursor family
Rfam family: mir-2774 microRNA precursor family
Source: Rfam by way of RNAcentral
AUAACAUUCGGGCCGUCGAUCUACCGAACAAUUUUACCUGCUCGGUGGAAGAUCUUCCCUGUGUUAC